This 207-nucleotide ribosomal RNA is filed under the name uncultured bacterium. RNAcentral describes it as "partial 16S ribosomal RNA". It matches the Rfam family "Bacterial small subunit ribosomal RNA", at positions 568 to 774 of the family's 1533-position model. The record is from RNAcentral.
CGCGUAGGCGGUUUGUUAAGUCAGGUGUGAAAGUUUUCAGCUUAACUGGAAAAGUGUACUUGAAACUAACUUACUUGAGUACUGGAGAGGUAAGCGGAAUUCCUAGUGUAGCGGUGAAAUGCGUAGAUAUUAGGAAGAACACCGGUGGCGAAGGCGGCUUACUGGACAGAGACUGACGCUGAGGCGCGAAAGCGUGGGGAGCGAACA